Molecule: unclassified non-coding RNA, 1811 nt
Filed under: Zea mays
Lineage: Eukaryota; Viridiplantae; Streptophyta; Magnoliopsida; Poales; Poaceae
Description: misc RNA Zm00001eb333530
Source: RNAcentral
CUCCGGAUCAUGCGUGCACCGGCGGAUCAGCCUUCGCAGAUGUGGUCUUGUAGUAGCCACUCACGCCCACCCCACCAGAGUCACAUAAACGUCGUCCCUAGAUCCCGUGAAACGCCGAUACCCGCCGCUGCGAAACGCCCCGCUUUGACGGCCCCCCGAGGCUGUCGCGAUCCAAGAAAAAAAAAGGCGUGGAACCCGGCAAGCCCGUUCGCAAGUCGCACCAGCCGCCAGCCAGCCCGCCAUGACCUAGCCGCAGCCUCUUUUAUAAAACCCGCCGCCUCCGCUCGUCUCCUCCACAGCUCCACCCACCACAGCAGGCAGAGAGCAGAGCGCCACCAGCCAAGCCGUCCGAUCCUUCGUCUGCCGAAGCCCAAGCCCAAGCAGCAGAACAGGUCCGAUGGCUCUCGCUCUCUCCGGCUGCUCCGCCCGCGCCGCCCUGACGUCGCUGGCCCCCAGGGCCAGGGGCUACGCGGCGUCGGCGGCGUCCGGGGCCAUGCGGCGCGCGGCGGCGGAGAGCGCGGCCGCGGGCGAGGCCAAGGAGGCCGGGCGCCGCACCGCCGCCGCCGAGGUCUCGUGGGUGCCGGACCCCGUCACGGGCCACUACCGCCCCUCCAACUGGGCCGCCGCCGCCGCCGACCCCGCCGACCUCCGCGCCGCGCACCUCGCCCCCACCUACGCCCGGGCCUGAACGGCCCCCGCUCCCUCACCCCGCUCCGCCUCGCCUCGUGUCGUCUCGUAUGACAUACAGUACCGUACCUGAGUGAAGGCGAAGAGAGAGGCCGGUGGGGGCCGGGGUUCGUCUGGCGAAUGGCGUCGUCGCGCCGCGCGCGCGCGCUCUGUGACGCCCGGCCCGGCGUGUUCUUGGAGAGCGGGAGGUGUUCUGUCGUCUUGGUUGGUCGCUGUGCGAUGCGAUCCGAUGACCAACGGGAGAUGCUGUUAUUACAAACAAGAAGAGCGGUCUGUGGUCGCCACCCGUGUGUGGUGUGGGUGGGCUGGAAUGGAUGUCCUGCUCUAGACUCCAGUGCACUCCCAGCUCCUACAUAUAUAUCAGAUUCAGAGCAGAGCAGAGCAGGGUUUUGCACUGCCGUUUUACGUUUGGUGCUCGCGACAGCUAGAGUAUUUCGGAUUUAUCUACGUAUAAUAAAGUUGCAUCUUUUAUCGAACACGAACGGACGGAACGAGUUUUAUCAAACAAGAAUCGAGCGUCUUGCGAACGCUUCGAAUCCAAUCAGACUAAAAAUCAUGGCGAACAGAUAUGCGGCACAAUCUCUACAGGAGGAUCUCUUGGUCACACGGACUCACAUUUGCUCAGCGCCACUUACCUGUAAACGAUUUCGUGUGGACCAACGACCAAUGUGCUCGAGUGCGCACUACUACUAUUUCUUUACCCUUCCACUUCCAGUUCCAUUCUGUAUUUGCGUUGCCGUUCACGGCCUCACGGGGCACGUUGCCUGCACCGUGCUUCGAAAAGAUGCGCUUUGCUUCAGCACCCGGCGAUCCCGUUGCCGUCAGCCGACUACCAUUUAUCACUGGCGUUGGGUGUGCACUUGUCUUCCGUUCGUAUUUCUCUCCUUCUACACUUACGGGCAUGAUUGGUUGCAUGAGCGACAGGCGCAUGGCUCGACCAAGCCUGGCCUACCGCAAACGUGGUUUCUCUGCUUCUCCACGCAUGCAACAAAAAUGGCUCGAUUUGGCUUUAGCUGCACACCCGCACAUGCAAGUGUGCCCAUGCACAUACAGACAUCCAAACAUAAAUUAGAGGUCAGUCAACGCAUGGACAGAAGCCGGUUGCCGAGAAGCACGCAACCAAC